UCAGCUCGAGAAGGGUGGCGGCCUUGCCGGUGCCCAGACAAGGGAAGACCCAUGAACCUUACAUGUGAAUUAUCCUUGGAGUCUGUUUAGCGGCAGGAGGAGACCUAGGUGCUGUACUAGGACUACUUUUCUGCCACCAAAAGGCACCAUGAUUAUGUUGGGGGUUGCCAAUCCUCAUGGCCUAGCCAUGUAUGUCGAAACAUAGCGCAUGCAAGGAAGAUAGCAGAAGGAAUGUACGCGGCUAUCGAUAUUUAAUUUCAAAUCUAGGAAAUCCCAGCGGAUUCACAUCCUUAAACCGGCAUGACCUCUUUUAGGCUCGAUCUCAUACCACGGGUUGGAGGUAUCGAACAGACGCCAAACUUUUUUCAUAAAAUUGGAGUCAAUACGACCUGCCCGCGUUCGAUCAUGACCAAUCAGUCGGGUGUAGUGGCUGUCUGGUUUGGCCAGUUCAUAUUCCCUCUGCGGACGGAUGGAUGAUACCAGGCUAGCAAAGUAGCGUGUGGUUCUUGGGAGACAGUCUGUGGAAUUUUGAUAAGAUUACAUAUUAAAUACGUUCGGCUGGACGAUUUCAGUCGC
This 576-nucleotide small RNA is filed under the name Histoplasma ohiense. RNAcentral's name for it is "hypothetical lncRNA". The record is from RNAcentral. Lineage: Eukaryota; Fungi; Ascomycota; Eurotiomycetes; Onygenales; Ajellomycetaceae.